Molecule: ribosomal RNA, 465 nt
Filed under: beta proteobacterium BAC77P
Lineage: Bacteria; Pseudomonadati; Pseudomonadota; Betaproteobacteria
Description: bacterial SSU rRNA
Rfam family: Bacterial small subunit ribosomal RNA
Source: RNAcentral
UGCUGCAUGGCUGUCGUCAGCUCGUGUCGUGAGAUGUUGGGUUAAGUCCCGCAACGAGCGCAACCCUUGUCAUUAGUUGCUACAUUUAGUUGGGCACUCUAAUGAGACUGCCGGUGACAAACCGGAGGAAGGUGGGGAUGACGUCAAGUCCUCAUGGCCCUUAUAGGUGGGGCUACACACGUCAUACAAUGGCCGGUACAAAGGGCUGCCAACCCGCGAGGGGGAGCUAAUCCCAUAAAACCGGUCGUAGUCCGGAUCGCAGUCUGCAACUCGACUGCGUGAAGUCGGAAUCGCUAGUAAUCGUGGAUCAGAAUGUCACGGUGAAUACGUUCCCGGGUCUUGUACACACCGCCCGUCACACCAUGGGAGCGGGUUCUGCCAGAAGUAGUUAGCCUAACCGCAAGGAGGGCGAUUACCACGGCAGGGUUCGUGACUGGGGUGAAGUCGUAACACGUAAGGCGUUAA